AGUAGACGUUCAGAGUUUGAUCCUGGCUCAGGACGAACGCUGGCGGCGUGCUUAACACAUGCAAGUCGAACGGAAAGGCCCUGCUUUUGUGGGGUGCUCGAGUGGCGAACGGGUGAGUAACACGUGAGUAACCUGCCCUUGACUUUGGGAUAACUUCAGGAAACUGGGGCUAAUACCGGAUAGGAGCUCCUGCUGCAUGGUGGGGGUUGGAAAGUUUCGGCGGUUGGGGAUGGACUCGCGGCUUAUCAGCUUGUUGGUGGGGUAGUGGCUUACCAAGGCUUUGACGGGUAGCCGGCCUGAGAGGGUGACCGGCCACAUUGGGACUGAGAUACGGCCCAG
RNAcentral lists this ribosomal RNA (339 nucleotides) under uncultured bacterium. RNAcentral's name for it is "bacterial SSU rRNA". It matches the Rfam family "Bacterial small subunit ribosomal RNA", at positions 1 to 334 of the family's 1533-position model. The record is from RNAcentral.